CCUACGGGAGGCAGCAGUGAGGAAUAUUGGUCAAUGGACGAGAGUCUGAACCAGCCAAGUAGCGUGAAGGAAGACUGCCCUAUGGGUUGUUAACUUCUUUUAUAAAGGAAUAAAACGAAACACGUGUGACCUUUUGCAUGUACUUUAUGAAUAAGGAUCGGCUAACUCCGUGCAAGCAGCCGCGGUAAUACGGAGGAUCCGAGCGUUAUCCGGAUUUCUUGGGUUUAAAGGGAGCGUAGAUGGGUUGUUAAGUCAGUUGUGAAAGUUUGGGGCUCAACCGUAAAAUUGCAAAUGAUACUGGGAGACUAGAGUACAGUUGAGGUAGGCGGAAUUCGUGGUGUAGCGGUGAAAUGCGUAGAUAUCACGAAGAACCCCGAUUGCGAAGGCAGCUUACUAAACUGUGACUGACAUUGAGGCUCGAAAGUGUGGGUAUCAAACAGGAUUAGAUACCCCAGUAGUC
This 460-nucleotide ribosomal RNA is filed under the name uncultured bacterium. RNAcentral describes it as "partial 16S ribosomal RNA". It matches the Rfam family "Bacterial small subunit ribosomal RNA", at positions 338 to 795 of the family's 1533-position model. The record is from RNAcentral.